UACAGAGGUCCCGAGCGUUGUUCGGAUUCAUUGGGCGUAAAGGGUGCGUAGGCGGCGGGGCAAGUCUGAUGUGAAAUCCCGGGGCUCAACCCCGGAACUGCAUUGGAUACUGCCUUGCUUGAGUACUGGAGAGGGAACUGGAAUUUACGGUGUAGCAGUGAGAUGCGUAGAGAUCGUAAGGAAGGCCAGUGGCGAAGGCGAGUUCCUGGACAGUUACUGACGCUGAGGAGCGAAAGCCAGGGGAGCAAACGGG
Molecule: ribosomal RNA, 253 nt
Filed under: uncultured bacterium
Lineage: Bacteria
Description: partial 16S ribosomal RNA
Rfam family: Bacterial small subunit ribosomal RNA
Source: RNAcentral